AUGCUUCUCCUAAAGACUAAGCCAUGCAUGUCUUCGAAUAAGAGGAAGCAAUUCUCUCUGAAUCUGCGAACGGCUCCGCAAACCAGUUGUAAACCAAAGCAAGCUUGCUCGGGUUGGGCUUCGGCCUGGCCUGGGUGAUACGGAUAACCCUGGUAAUUCUGAGGCUAAUACGUGUAUGGAACACCCGGUGGACCGGCCUCACGGCUGGGAUAUCGGGAGACGAGUGAUGGAAUGUUUGGAUUACCAGGAACGGGCG
Molecule: ribosomal RNA, 256 nt
Filed under: uncultured Lamproderma sp.
Lineage: Eukaryota; Evosea; Eumycetozoa; Stemonitida
Description: partial 18S ribosomal RNA
Rfam family: Eukaryotic small subunit ribosomal RNA
Source: RNAcentral